AAAGCUUUGACAUAUUUGCACCAAACUUUGUAUGUGCCAUUGUCACCUCAAACUGACCACGCCACAUUAAUUUGGUAACAGCGCCACCUAUUGGUCAAGAGUAAUAAACCAUUCAUUAACCAUUAAUAAUUACAUUUAUAAAAAUGCUAAUAACUUUUUAUUGCAUUAGCCUAUUGCAAUGAAACUGGUCUCAAAAUAUUCCUUGGCUUAGGCCGACAACAUAGAUACCAAAUAUGCCAGAGUACGCUGAACUUCCUGUCCGCCAUUUUGAUUUAUGUUGAAAACCUACUUUUUCGAACUCCUCAUCAACCGUUGGUCCAAUUUUCACCAAAAUUGAAUCAGAUGAUCUUCAGACUGUGGUGACAAAAUAUUAUGGAUUUUGUAUCGAUAGACAAAACCGUUUUCGCAUACCACAGCGACGAACUUCGGGCAUGAUGCCAAAAUGACACUUCAGCCUGUAUCUCUGCAAUGCUUUGGCAUACUGACACCAACCUUUGUGUGUGCCAUUGUCACCUCACACUGAACACACCAGAAUGAUUUGAUUACAGCGCCACCUGUUGGUCAAAAAUUAUAAGCCAUUUAAUCAUAAUACUAGUGCUUGUAUUUAUGAUUUUUCCACCAUUUCAAUUACAAUCAUCCUAAAAUUGCUGUAAUUGCUUAUUGUUGCAUUUGGUCUGAUGCUCCAUGCCAUGUUUAGCUCCUCAAUUUGCCGCUGGAGUGCUUGGCCCCGCAAUUAUUGCUUGCAGCUAUAUUUCUUCUUCUUCUUCUUCUUCUUCUUCUUCUUCUUCUUCUUCUUCUUCCGCCGCAAGUCUAUGGCAGCCCAUAGAACCGAUUGCGGGAAAGUUGUAUAAUUUGGCACACUGAUAGAGGACAGUCCCAGCCUUAACUAUAGCAAAUUUGAAGUCUCUAACUCCAACUCUCUAGCGCCACCACUUGUCCAAAGUUUCAAUAUUUGUAUGCUAAUAACUUUUGAACCGUAAGCCACAAAAUGAAAAUUCUUUUUUCCUCGGAAUCCUUGGCUCAGUCCAAGUCGAAUGAACCCCGAAAUUCAAAAAUCGCAAGGUUUAGUUUUUUCGCUAUUUUCAAUUGUUUGAAAAACCUACUUUUACGAACUCGUCCUAGACGGUUAGUUCGAUUUUCACGAAAAUUGGCUCAGAUCAUCUUCAGACGAUGCUGGCAAAAAGUUAUGGAAUUCAAGUUGAUUCGUCCAACCGUUCUCGAAUACCUCGUAAACAAAUUCUACGAAAAGCACUCAAAAAUGCUUGUGAGCCUAUAACUCCGCAACGGUUUGGCGUAUUGAGACCAAACUUGGUGAGUGUUAUAACAAGCAAGACUUGAGACUACCUGCAGUGUUUCGACGCAGCGCCACCUAGUGGUCAGGAGAUAUGAAAAAUGCAUAUUUUUGCUUAUAACUUCUGAAUGGUUUGGCCAAAAAUCACAAAAUUGGUCUCAUAAGAUUCGGUGGGUCAUGUCAAGUCGAAUGAUAUCCAAUUUUCCCGUGUCGGCCAUUUUAGGUGUCGGCCAUUUUGAAUUAUGUUUCAAAAUGCUGUAUUUUUUGAACGCAUCAUCGUAUCGCUACGAAAAUAAUUACAAAAAUGUUUGGCUCCAUGCCCUGAAGCUACUCAAAAAGUUUGGUGGCAGCGCCACCUUGUGGUCAAAAGUUAUAAUGAAAUAUCUUAAAAAUGCUAAUAACUUUUGAAAAAAUUAGACUAUUGCAAUGAAAUUCAUGUCGCUAUAUUCUCUUGGUCAUGCCGAGAACAUCGAUACCAAUUAUUCCAAAAUUGGCCAUACUUCCUGUCCGCCAUUUUUAUUAAAGUUGAAAACCUACUUUUUCGAACUCCUCCUAGACCGUUAGUCCGAUUUUCACCAAAUUGGGUUCGGAUCAUCUUCAGACCAAGCUGACAAAAAGUUAUGGAAUUCGUGUUGAUAUACGAAACGGUUUUCGUUUAGCGCAUCGACGAAUUUGUUCGUAAGAUGCAAAAAUACAUCUGAGGCUGUAUCUCGGCAAAGCUUUGACAUAUUUGUACCAACCUUUGUAUGUGCCAUUGUCAUCUCAGACUGACCAUGCCACAUCAAUUUUGUAACAGCGCCACCUAUUGGUCAAGAGUAAUAAAUCAUUCAUUACCCAUUAAUAAUUACACUUAUAAAAAUGCUAAUAACUUUUUAUUGCAUUAGCCUAUUGCAAUGAAACUGGUCUCAAAAAAUUCCUUGGCUUAUGCCGACAACAUAGAUACCAAAUAUGCCAGAGUACGCUGAACUUCCUGUCCGCCAUGUUGAUUUAUGUUGAAAACCUACUUUUUCGAACUCCUCAUCAACCGUUGGUUCGAUUUUCACCAAAAUUAAAUCAGAUGAUCUUCAGACUAUGCUGACAAAAUGUUAUGGAUUUUGUAUCGAUAGACAAAACCGUUUUCGCAUACCACAGUGACGAAUUUCAGGCAUGAUGCCAAAAUGACACUUCAGCCUGUAUCUCUGCAAUGCUUUGGCAUACUGACACCAAACUUUGUGUGUGGCAUUGUCACCUCACACAGAACACACCAAAAUGAUUUGAUUACAGCACCACCUGUUGGUCAAAAGUGAUAAGUCAUUUAAUCAUAAUACUAGUGCUUGUAUUUAUGUUUUUC
Cyprinus carpio carpio is the source of this 2621-nucleotide long non-coding RNA. The record is from Ensembl. Lineage: Eukaryota; Metazoa; Chordata; Actinopteri; Cypriniformes; Cyprinidae.